UAGGGAAUCUUCCACAAUGGACGCAAGUCUGAUGGAGCAACGCCGCGUGAGUGAAGAAGGUUUUCGGAUCGUAAAACUCUGUUGUUAGAGAAGAACGUGUGUGAGAGUAACUGUUCAUGCAGUGACGGUAUCUAACCAGAAAGCCACGGCUAACUACGUGCCAGCAGCCGCGGUAAUACGUAGGUGGCAAGCGUUGUCCGGAUUUAUUGGGCGUAAAGGGAACGCAGGCGGUCUUUUAAGUCUGAUGUGAAAGCCUUCGGCUUAACCGAAGUCGUGCAUUGGAAACUGGGAGACUUGAGUGCAGAAGAGGAGAGUGGAACUCCAUGUGUAGCGGUGAAAUGCGUAGAUAUAUGGAAGAACACCAGUGGCGAAAGCGGCUCUCUGGUCUGUAACUGACGCUGAGGUUCGAAAGCGUGGGUAGCAAACAGGAUUAGAUACCCUGGUAGUCCACGCCGUAAACGGUGGGUACUAGGUGUGGGUCUCAUUCCACGAGAUCCGUGCCGUAGCUAACGCAUUAAGUACCCCGCCUGGGGAGUACGGCCGCAAGGCUA
Molecule: ribosomal RNA, 551 nt
Filed under: uncultured bacterium
Lineage: Bacteria
Description: bacterial SSU rRNA
Rfam family: Bacterial small subunit ribosomal RNA
Source: RNAcentral